This 406-nucleotide long non-coding RNA is filed under the name Oryza sativa (Asian cultivated rice). RNAcentral describes it as "long non-coding RNA (OSAT_LNC000077)". The record is from RNAcentral. Lineage: Eukaryota; Viridiplantae; Streptophyta; Magnoliopsida; Poales; Poaceae.
AGUAGUUUAUUACUCCAUGCCUCAUGCAGAGAGCAGUGCUGCGAAUUGAUCUGCCAGGCUCUUCACAGUCGUCGGAGAAACUGCAGAUUCUCCACCCAGGUACCACUUCUGAAUCAUCUCGGCCACAUUCUUGUUCUCCACUGUCAGCUUCGCCUCGCCCUUGCCUUCUGUCACAAAUGAUAUCUGCACACAUAUAUGCAUGCUUCAAUUAGGUUUGCAAGAACAAAGAUUUGAUCACUUGAUAUCUUAACCAAACCCAGCUGAAUAUAAGGAGUACUCUACAAGAUUAUACCUCUGCAAUUCCAGGGGUGUUAGGAAAGUGGAAGGUGAGGACGGAGUUGGGCUUGAAAUACUUGGACUGAAAGAAUUCAGUCACCUUCUCCAGAGACUCUUCCUCCUCAUCCUC